This 245-nucleotide unclassified non-coding RNA is filed under the name Rhizophagus sp. (in: glomeromycetes). RNAcentral describes it as "partial contains 5.8S ribosomal RNA and internal transcribed spacer 2". The stretch from base 1 to 65 matches the Rfam family "5.8S ribosomal RNA", at positions 84 to 154 of the family's 154-position model. The record is from RNAcentral. Lineage: Eukaryota; Fungi; Glomeromycota; Glomeromycetes; Glomerales; Glomeraceae.
GUGAAUCAUCGAAUUUUUGAACGCAAAUUGCACUCUCUUCGGAGAGUAUGCCUGUUUGAGGGUCAGUAUUAAUAAAAAUCGGUGUGUUGCUUCUUUGUGACGUUCCGGAGUUUGGGUCAUCUUAAUAUCCUUUAGGUCUUUUGAGGCUAAAAAUCGACUUUUUUUGCGACUUUUAGUUGUAUAUAAAUUUUUUUUUUUACUCGUCUGCCUUAUUGCCUAAAAUCAUAUAAGAUGCGACCAUAUCG